GAAGGUAAAGGCUUCCCCAAGGGCGACGAUGGGUAGCCGACUUGAGAGGGUGAUCGGCCCCACUUGGGAUUGAGACACGGCCCCAGAUUCCUACGGGAGGCAGCAGUAGGGAAUCAUCCGCAAUGGGCGAAAGCCUGACGGUGCAACGCCGCGUGAGUGAUGAAGGUUUUCGGAUCGUAAAGCUCUGUUGACAGGGAAGAACCCACGCCAGUCGAACAGGCUGGCGUGCUGACGGUACCUGUCCAGAAAGCCCCGGCUAACUACGUGCCAGCAGCCGCGGUAAUACGUAGGGGGCAAGCGUUGUCCGGAAUUAUUGGGCGUAAAGGGCACGCAGGCGGUUUCGUCAGUCCGAUGUGACAGGCCACGGCUCAACCGUGGAAGGCCAUUGGAAACUGCGAGACUUGAGGACAGAAGAGGAGAGUGGAAUUCCACGUGUAGCGGUGAAAUGCGUAGAUAUGUGGAGGAACACCAGUGGCGAAGGCGACUCUCUGGUCUGUACCUGACGCUGAGGUGCGAAAGCAUGGGGAGCAAACAGGAUUAGAUACCCUGGUAGUCCAUGCCGUAAACGCUGAGUGCUAGGUGUUAGGGGUUUCGAUACCCGUAGUGCCGAAGCUAACGCAUUAAGCACUCCGCCUGGGGAGUACGACCGCAAGGUUGAAACUCAAAGGAAUUGACGGGGGCCUGCACAAGCGGUGGAGCAUGUGGUUUAAUUCGACGCAACGCGAAGAACCUUACCAGAUCUUGACAUCUUUCGCUACGCCUCGAGAGAGGCGGUUCCCCUUCGGGGGACGAAAUGACAGGUGGUGCAUGGUUGUCGUCAGCUCGUGUCGUGAGAUGUUGGGUUAAGUCCCGCAACGAGCGCAACCCCUAAUCUUAGUUGCCAGCAUUCAGUUGGGCACUCUAAGGUGACUGCCGGUGACAAACCGGAGGAAGGUGGGGAUGACGUCAAAUCAUCAUGCCCCUUAUGAUCUGGGCUACACACGUGCUACAAUGGAUGGUACAACGGGACGCGAACCCGCGAGGGGGAGCCAAUCCAGAAAAGCCAUUCUCAGUUCGGAUUGCAGGCUGCAACUCGCCUGCAUGAAGCCGGAAUCGCUAGUAAUCGCGGAUCAGAAUGCCGCGGUGAAUACGUUCCCAGGCCUUGUACACACCGCCCGUCACACCACGAGAGUUUGCAACACCCGAAGUCGGUGAGGGAACCCUUCUGGGACCCAGCCGCCGAAA
Molecule: ribosomal RNA, 1224 nt
Filed under: Marinococcus halophilus
Lineage: Bacteria; Bacillati; Bacillota; Bacilli; Caryophanales; Bacillaceae
Description: bacterial SSU rRNA
Rfam family: Bacterial small subunit ribosomal RNA
Source: RNAcentral